This 420-nucleotide ribosomal RNA is filed under the name bacterium. Its description in RNAcentral is "partial 16S ribosomal RNA". It matches the Rfam family "Bacterial small subunit ribosomal RNA", at positions 355 to 776 of the family's 1533-position model. The record is from RNAcentral.
UGGGGGAUAUUGCACAAUGGGCGAAAGCCUGAUGCAGCGACGCCGCGUGGGGGAUGAAGGCUUUCGGGUUGUAAACCUCUUUCGCUAUCGAACAAGGCCCGCUUAGGGUGGGUUGAGGGUAGGUGGAGAAGAAGCGCCGGCUAACUACGUGCCAGCAGCCGCGGUAAUACGUAGGGCGCGAGCGUUGUCCGGAAUUAUUGGGCGUAAAGGGCUUGUAGGCGGCUUGUUGCGCCUGCUGUGAAAACGCGGGGCUUAACUUCGCGCGUGCAGUGGGUACGGGCAGGCUUGAGUGUGGUAGGGGUGACUGGAAUUCCAGGUGUAGCGGUGGAAUGCGCAGAUAUCUGGAGGAACACCGAUGGCGAAGGCAGGUCACUGGGCCAUUACUGACGCUGAGGAGCGAAAGCAUGGGUAGUGAACAGG